CCUACGGGGAGCAGCAGUGAGGAAUAUUGGUCAAUGGGCGGAAGCCUGAACCAGCCAAGUAGCGUGCGGGAUGAAGGCCCUACGGGUCGUAAACCGCUUUUGCACGGGGAUAACACCCUCCACUUGUGGAGGUCUGCAGGUACCGUGCGAAUAAGGGCCGGCUAAUUCCGUGCCAGCAGCCGCGGUAAUACGGAAGGCCCGAGCGUUAUCCGGAUUCAUUGGGCUUAAAGGGAGCGUAGGCGGGCGUUCAAGUCAGCUGUAAAAUCGCGCGGCUCAACCGCGCCCCGCAGUUGAAACUGGACGCAUUGAGUUCACAACAGGCAGGCGGAAUUCGUGGUGUAGCGGUGAAAUGCAUAGAUAUCACGAGGAACCCCGAUUGCGAAGGCAGCCUGCCGGGGUGCGACUGACGCUGAGGCUCGAAGGUGUGGGUAUCAAACAGGAUUAGAUACCCCUGUAGUC
Molecule: ribosomal RNA, 459 nt
Filed under: uncultured bacterium
Lineage: Bacteria
Description: partial 16S ribosomal RNA
Rfam family: Bacterial small subunit ribosomal RNA
Source: RNAcentral